UGACGAUAAACAAGAUAAUGUGUCCUGGGUUGAAGAUAAACAAGAUAAUGUGUCCUGGGUUGAAGAUAAACAAGAUAAUGUGCCCUGGGUUGACCAUAAACAAGAUGAUGUAAUGUGCCCUGGGUUGACCAUAAACAAGAUAAUGUAAUGUGCCCUGGGUUGACCAUAAACAAGGUAAUGUGCCCUGGGUUGACCAUAAACAAGAUAAUGUAAUGUGCCCUGGGUUGACCAUAAACAAGAUAAUGUAAUGUGCCCUGGGUUGACCAUAAACAAGGUAAUGUAAUGUGCCCUGGGUUGACCAUAAACAAGGUAAUGUAAUGUGCCCUGGGUUGACCAUAAACAAGGUAAUGUGCCCUGGGUUGACCAUAAACAAGGUAAUGUGCCCUGGGUUGACCAUAAACAAGGUAAUGUGCCCUGGGUUGACCAUACACAAGAUAAUGUAAUGUGCCCUGGGUUGACCAUAAACAAGGUAAUGUAAUGUGCACUGGGUUGACCAUAAACAAGGUAAUGUGCCCUGGGUUGACCAUAAACAAGGUAAUGUGCCCUGGGUUGACCAUAAACAAGGUAAUGUGCCCUGGGUUGACCAUAUUAAUGCAACAGAUUAUCAGUAGAAAAUAUACAAUAGAACUGCUAUCAGUCUCUGUCCCAACCGUACCCUAUUCCCUA
Oncorhynchus keta (chum salmon) is the source of this 666-nucleotide long non-coding RNA. RefSeq lists it as uncharacterized. The transcript has 5 exons. The record is from RefSeq and is a predicted model, not a curated record. NCBI's taxonomy places the organism in Eukaryota, Metazoa, Chordata, Actinopteri, Salmoniformes, Salmonidae.